RNAcentral lists this ribosomal RNA (459 nucleotides) under uncultured bacterium. RNAcentral's name for it is "partial 16S ribosomal RNA". It matches the Rfam family "Bacterial small subunit ribosomal RNA", at positions 338 to 795 of the family's 1533-position model. The record is from RNAcentral.
CCUACGGGAGGCAGCAGUGAGGAAUAUUGGUCAAUGGCCGCAAGGCUGAACCAGCCACGUCGCGUGAGGGAUGACGGUCCUAUGGAUUGUAAACCUCUUUUGUCAGGGAGCAAAGGGCGCCACGUGUGGGGUUUGGCGAGUACCUGAAGAAAAAGCAUCGGCUAACUCCGUGCCAGCAGCCGCGGUAAUACGGAGGAUUCGAGCGUUAUCCGGAUUUCGUGGGUUUAACGGGUGCGCAGGCGGAAUGACAAGUUAGCGGUAAAAUGUCGGGGCUCAACCCCGUCGUGCUGUUGAAACUGUCGUUCUUGAGUGCGGGAGAAGUAAGCGGAAUGCGUGGUGUAGCGGUGAAAUGCAUAGAUAUCACGCAGAACUCCGAUUGCGAAGGCAGCAUACCGGCGCUCAACUGACGCUCAUGCACGAAAGCGUGGGUAUCGAACAGGAUUAGAUACCCUUGUAGUC